AGAACACUGGACUUGGAGUCAGAAAACUU
Vombatus ursinus (common wombat) is the source of this 29-nucleotide microRNA. Lineage: Eukaryota; Metazoa; Chordata; Mammalia; Diprotodontia; Vombatidae. The record is from Ensembl.